This 209-nucleotide ribosomal RNA is filed under the name uncultured bacterium. RNAcentral describes it as "partial 16S ribosomal RNA". It matches the Rfam family "Bacterial small subunit ribosomal RNA", at positions 568 to 774 of the family's 1533-position model. The record is from RNAcentral.
UGUGUAGGCGGUUCUUUAAGUUUGGUGUGAAAUCUCCCGGCUCAACCGGGAGGGUGCGCCGAAUACUGAGGGACUUCGAGUGCGGGAGAGGAAAGUGGAAUUCCUGGUGUAGCGGUGAAAUGCGUAGAUAUCAGGAGGAACACCGGUGGUGUAGACGGCUUUCUGGACCGUAACUGACACUGAGGCACGAAAAGCGUGGGUAGCAAACA